GACGAACGCUGGCGGCGUGCUUAACACAUGCAAGUCGAACGGUAAGGCCCCUUCGGGGGUACACGAGUGGCGAACGGGUGAGUAACACGUGGGUAAUCUGCCCUGCACUUCGGGAUAAGCCUGGGAAACUGGGUCUAAUACCGGAUAUGAGCUCUCAUCGCACGGUGGGGGUGGGAAAGUUUUUCGGUGCAGGAUGAGCCCGCGGCCUAUCAGCUUGUUGGUGGGGUAAUGGCCUACCAAGGCGACGACGGGUAGCCGGCCUGAGAGGGUGAUCGGCCACACUGGGACUGAGACACGGCCCAGACUCCUACGGGAGGCAGCAGUGGGGAAUAUUGCACAAUGGGCGGAAGCCUGAUGCAGCGACGCCGCGUGGGGGAUGACGGUCUUCGGAUUGUAAACCCCUUUCAGUAGGGACGAAGCGCAAGUGACGGUACCUGCAGAAGAAGCACCGGCCAACUACGUGCCAGCCGCCGCAGUAA
RNAcentral lists this ribosomal RNA (479 nucleotides) under uncultured bacterium. RNAcentral's name for it is "partial 16S ribosomal RNA". It matches the Rfam family "Bacterial small subunit ribosomal RNA", at positions 28 to 523 of the family's 1533-position model. The record is from RNAcentral.